UUUUGGACAAUGGGCGAAAGCCUGAUCCAGCAAUGCCGCGUGUGGGAAGAAGGCCUUCGGGUUGUAAACCACUUUCGUACGGAACGAAAAGGUCUGCCCUAAUACGGUGGGCCCAUGACGGUACCGUAAGAAUAAGCACCGGCUAACUACGUGCCAGCAGCCGCGGUAAUACGUAGGGUGCGAGCGUUAAUCGGAAUUACUGGGCGUAAAGCGUGCGCAGGCGGUUAUAUAAGACAGUUGUGAAAUCCCCGGGCUCAACCUGGGAAUUGCAUCUGUGACUGUAUAGCUAGAGUACGGUAGAGGGGGAUGGAAUUCCGCGUGUAGCAGUGAAAUGCGUAGAUAUGCGGAGGAACACCGAUGGCGAAGGCAAUCCCCUGGACCUGUACUGACGCUCAUGCACGAAA
This 404-nucleotide ribosomal RNA is filed under the name uncultured bacterium. Its description in RNAcentral is "bacterial SSU rRNA". It matches the Rfam family "Bacterial small subunit ribosomal RNA", at positions 362 to 758 of the family's 1533-position model. The record is from RNAcentral.